CCUCCUUAUACGAUUUAGAACUUAUUUGUUCGUAGUGUCCACACAGAUGAUUGUUAGUUAGCUAAGCCACUGGCUUACCUAAUUAAUAUGCUCUUUAAAAAUUUGGAAAAGCUGAUAAUAAAAUUCGUAUAGAUAACAGUUGUUAUUUAUACAGAGUUUUCAAAAGUAAAAAAAUGCCAUUGAUUAUUCAAACGAAUAAUGAAUUGGUAUCUACUUUAGUAUUCAAUAUUAACUUCUGGCGAAGUUAAACUGUCACUAACAAAGACCCGUUUGGGUUGUAUGGUUAAGUGACUAAGCGUACACGGUGGAUGCCUUGGCAGUUGGAGGCGAUGAAGGACGUAUUAACUUGCGAUAAGCCUAGUCAAGCUAGUAAAAAGCGCUUGAGACUAGGAUUUCCGAAUGGA
This 404-nucleotide unclassified non-coding RNA is filed under the name uncultured Pseudoalteromonas sp. Its description in RNAcentral is "partial 16S-23S ribosomal RNA intergenic spacer". The stretch from base 282 to 404 matches the Rfam family "Bacterial large subunit ribosomal RNA", at positions 1 to 122 of the family's 2925-position model. Lineage: Bacteria; Pseudomonadati; Pseudomonadota; Gammaproteobacteria; Alteromonadales; Pseudoalteromonadaceae. The record is from RNAcentral.